RNAcentral lists this ribosomal RNA (937 nucleotides) under Pezicula sp. 3 CC-2015. RNAcentral describes it as "eukaryotic LSU rRNA". It matches the Rfam family "Eukaryotic large subunit ribosomal RNA", at positions 107 to 984 of the family's 3401-position model. The record is from RNAcentral. Lineage: Eukaryota; Fungi; Ascomycota; Leotiomycetes; Helotiales; Dermateaceae.
GCUCAAAUUUGAAAUCUGGGUCUAUCAGGCCCCGAGUUGUAAUUUGUAGAAGAUGCUUUGGGUGCGGCCCCGGUCUAAGUUCCUUGGAACAGGACGUCAUAGAGGGUGAGGAUCCCGUAUGUGAUCGGUGGCCUGCGCCCGUGUAAAGCUCUUUCGACGAGUCGGGUUGUUUGGGAAUGCAGCUCUAAAUGGGUGGUAAAUUUCAUCUAAAGCUAAAUAUUGGCCAGAGACCGAUAGCGCACAAGUAGAGUGAUCGAAAGAUGAAAAGCACUUUGGAAAGAGAGUUAAACAGUACGUGAAAUUGUUGAAAGGGAAGCGCUUGCACCCAGACUUGCGCGGGGUUGAUCAUCCGGGGUUCUCCCCGGUGCACUCGGCCUCGCUCAGGCCAGCAUCGGUUUCGGCGGUUGGAUAAAGGCCUUGGGAAUGUGGCUCCUCUCGGGGAGCGUUAUAGCCCUCGGUGCAAUGCAGCCUACCGGGACCGAGGACCGCGCUUCGGCUAGGAUGCUGGCGUAAUGGUUGUAAGCGACCCGUCUUGAAACACGGACCAAGGAGUCUAACAUCUAUGCGAGUGUUUGGGUGUCAAACCCAUCCGCGUAAUGAAAGUGAACGGAGGUGAGAACCCUUAAGGGUGCAUCAUCGACCGAUCCUGAUGUCUUCGGAUGGAUUUGAGUAAGAGCAUAGCUGUUGGGACCCGAAAGAUGGUGAACUAUGCCUAAAUAGGGUGAAGCCAGAGGAAACUCUGGUGGAGGCUCGCAGCGGUUCUGACGUGCAAAUCGAUCGUCAAAUUUGGGUAUAGGGGCGAAAGACUAAUCGAACCAUGAGUAGUUGCUAGGUGGUUAAGAGGCGGCCGUAGUGGGCCGCCUAGUCCUGGGUCCAGGGCGACAUUGUCAAAUUGUUCGGGGACGUCCUGUCAAUGUUGAGCUACCGCAGCCUGCCG